AACGAACGCUGGCGGCAUGCCUAACACAUGCAAGUCGAACGAGCCCUUCGGGUCUAGUGGCGCACGGGUGCGUAACGCGUGGGAACCUGCCCUUAGGUUCGGAAUAACUCCCCGAAAGGGGUGCUAAUACCGGAUAAUGUCUUCGGACCAAAGAUUUAUCGCCUUUGGAUGGGCCCGCGUUGGAUUAGCUAGUUGGUAGGGUAAAAGCCUACCAAGGCGACGAUCCAUAGCUGGUCUGAGAGGAUGAUCAGCCACACUGAGACUGAGACACGGCCCAGAAUCCUACGGGAGGCAGCAGUGGGGAAUAUUGGACAAUGGGCGAAAGCCUGAUCCAGCAAGGCCGCGUGAGUGAUGAAGGCCUGAGGGUUGUAAAGCGCUUGUACCCGGGAUGAUAAUGACAGUACCGGGAGAAUAAGCUACGGCUAACUCCGUG
RNAcentral lists this ribosomal RNA (433 nucleotides) under uncultured bacterium. Its description in RNAcentral is "partial 16S ribosomal RNA". It matches the Rfam family "Bacterial small subunit ribosomal RNA", at positions 29 to 507 of the family's 1533-position model. The record is from RNAcentral.